Molecule: unclassified non-coding RNA, 211 nt
Filed under: Hevea brasiliensis (rubber tree)
Lineage: Eukaryota; Viridiplantae; Streptophyta; Magnoliopsida; Malpighiales; Euphorbiaceae
Source: RNAcentral
AGAGCAGAGAGGAUCAGCUCUUCACAAGAAAGCAAGAAAAUUUAACAAGAUAACUAGCAUGGGUGAUGAAUGUAUUGACAUUAGAGGUAAAGAUGAUCAAUUUGCAAUCCAACCCAUAAGGAGAUCUUUUUCAAUGGAUUCAUCAGCAGAUCGGCAGCUGUACUUAUCAAUUCAAGAGAUUGUUCAGCAGAGCAGGCAAGUAAUUACUGAG